This 564-nucleotide long non-coding RNA is filed under the name Pongo abelii (Sumatran orangutan). RNAcentral describes it as "lincRNA". The record is from RNAcentral. Lineage: Eukaryota; Metazoa; Chordata; Mammalia; Primates; Hominidae.
GACAUUGCUAGAGCAGCUCACAGAACUCAGAGGAAUUAUUUGUGUUUACACAUUUAUUACAAAGCAUGUUACAACAGAUACAGAAAAGCAGCCAGAUGGAAGAGAUGCCUAGAGCAAGAUGCUUCUGACAGGGGCACUACUUGGAGCUGAUCUCACUCACCAAGUCCUGAGCAAGAAGAAAUUUCACCUUCUCUUCUGAUCCAAAGAUCAAAGCCUGUGAGGCCCUCACUCCUCAAGGAUGAUGAGGGGAAAGAAGUCCCUGGAAUCGGGGCCCCUGAAAGCACUGCCAUGGCAGUGCUUGGCAAUGGCAUUGUCUGUCUGGGAGAGCUGGUGGUAGUCGUGAAGUCAGACAGAUGUGAGCGUUGGAUUGCCUUCAGGGGCAGCCCAUAUCCUUGAUCUCCAUAAGGAGAGGAAAGAGCUGUCACUAGAGAUAUUCGGUUUCCUGUUUAUCUGGGGACAGCUUGAUUUGCAACUCAUUUACAUCCAUUUGUGCGCUGCAUCUUGAAGGUCCAAACUCUGAGUGUCUGAGAUAAAAUGAAAUUGUACAACCUGCUACAACUGGAU